UAAUACAUUGUGUGGACUCGUGCGUAUUUAGAAAGAGUUAUCAGUUGUAAGUCAUCUAGAUAUGUAACCUUUAUGUGACGAAGCAUAUAGUGAAUGUUAAGUUCAGAAGGAAAUCCAAACAAAUAUGUGUGUAGUAAAGUUAAGGUUUAUCUUAAGUGCAUUAUGUCCGAGUUACAAUAGUAGAAAUGGGUUAUUGGAAGUCUGGUUGUUA
This 211-nucleotide long non-coding RNA is filed under the name Lathyrus oleraceus (garden pea). Its description in RNAcentral is "Pisum sativum (pea) long non-coding RNA (PSAT_LNC016545)". Lineage: Eukaryota; Viridiplantae; Streptophyta; Magnoliopsida; Fabales; Fabaceae. The record is from RNAcentral.